This 484-nucleotide ribosomal RNA is filed under the name uncultured bacterium. RNAcentral describes it as "partial 16S ribosomal RNA". It matches the Rfam family "Bacterial small subunit ribosomal RNA", at positions 30 to 507 of the family's 1533-position model. The record is from RNAcentral.
AUUGAACGCUGGCGGCAGGCCUAACACAUGCAAGUCGAGCGGACGAAGGGAGCUUGCUCUUGGAUUCAGCGGCGGACGGGCGAGUAAUGCCUAGGAAUCUGCCUGGCCGUGGGGGAUAACGUCAGGAAACGGGCGCUAAUCUCGCAUCCGUCCUGAGGGUGAAAGUGGGGGUUCUUCGGACCUCACGCUAUUAGCUGAGCCUAGGUCGGAUUAGCUAGUUGGUGGGGUAAAGGCCUACCAAGGCGACGAUCCGUAACUGGUCUGAGAGGAUGAUCAGUCACACUGGAACUGAGACACGGUCCAGACUCCUACGGGAGGCAGCAGUAGGGAAUAUUGGACAAUGGGCGAAAGCCUGAUGCAGCCACGCCGCGUGUGUGAUGAAGGUCUUCGGAUUGUAAAGCACUGUAAGUUGGGAGGAAGAACAGUAAGUUAAUACCUGGCUGUUUUGACGUUACCAACAGAGAAAGCACCGGCUAACUUCGUG